AGCGAACGCUGGCGGCAGGCCUAACACAUGCAAGUCGAACGGACCUUUCGUGGUUAGUUGCUGACGGGGGAGGAGCACGGGGGACCGUUCCUGUAUGUUCGGGAUAACUCAUUUUAACUUGUGCUAAUACCGGAUGUGCCCUGCUGGUGAAGGAUUUAUCGCAUUUAGAGCGGCACGCGUCUUAUUAGCUAGUUGGGUUAGGUAAUGGCUCACCAAGGCGAGGAUCAGUAGCUGGUCUGAGAGGAUGAUCAGACACAUUGGUAGUGAGACACGGCGCAGACUAUUACGGGAGGGAGCAGAGGCGAAUCCUGCGAAACCGCCGAAAGCCUGACGCCGCCCUGGCGCGUGAACGAUGAAGGUCUUAGGAAAGUAAAAUUCUUUAACCGGCGACGAUACUGACGGUACCCGGAGAAGAAGCCCCGGCUAACUUCGUG
This 434-nucleotide ribosomal RNA is filed under the name uncultured bacterium. RNAcentral's name for it is "partial 16S ribosomal RNA". It matches the Rfam family "Bacterial small subunit ribosomal RNA", at positions 29 to 507 of the family's 1533-position model. The record is from RNAcentral.